Molecule: ribosomal RNA, 484 nt
Filed under: uncultured bacterium
Lineage: Bacteria
Description: partial 16S ribosomal RNA
Rfam family: Bacterial small subunit ribosomal RNA
Source: RNAcentral
AUUGAACGCUGGCGGAAUGCUUUACACAUGCAAGUCGAACGGCAGCACGGGGGCAACCCUGGUGGCGAGUGGCGAACGGGUGAGUAAUACAUCGGAACGUGCCCAGUCGUGGGGGAUAACUACGCGAAAGCGUAGCUAAUACCGCAUACGAACUCUGGUUGAAAGCGGGGGAUCGCAAGACCUCGCGCGAUUGGAGCGGCCGAUGGCAGAUUAGGUAGUUGGUGAGGUAAAGGCUCACCAAGCCGACGAUCUGUAGCUGGUCUGAGAGGACGACCAGCCACACUGGGACUGAGACACGGCCCAGACUCCUACGGGAGGCAGCAGUGGGGAAUUUUGGACAAUGGGCGCAAGCCUGAUCCAGCCAUUCCGCGUGCAGGAUGAAGGCCCUCGGGUUGUAAACUGCUUUUGUACGGAACGAAACGGUCCUGGUUAAUACCCGGGGAUAAUGACGGUACCGUAAGAAUAAGCACCGGCUAACUACGUG